This 447-nucleotide ribosomal RNA is filed under the name uncultured bacterium. RNAcentral describes it as "bacterial SSU rRNA". It matches the Rfam family "Bacterial small subunit ribosomal RNA", at positions 355 to 825 of the family's 1533-position model. The record is from RNAcentral.
UGGGGAAUCUUGGACAAUGGGCGCAAGCCUGAUCCAGCCAUGCCGCGUGAGUGAAGAAGGCCUUAGGGUUGUAAAACUCUUUCGCCGGAGAAGAUAAUGACGGUAUCCGGAGAAGAAGCCCCGGCUAACUUCGUGCCAGCAGCCGCGGUAAUACGAAGGGGGCUAGCGUUGUUCGGAAUUACUGGGCGUAAAGCGCACGUAGGCGGGUUUGUAAGUAGGGGGUGAAAUCCCAGGGCUCAACCCUGGAACUGCCUUCUAAACUGCAAGCCUGGAGGUCAGGAGAGGCGAGUGGAAUACCGAGUGUAGAGGUGAAAUUCGUAGAUAUUCGGUGGAACACCAGUGGCGAAGGCGACUCGCUGGACUGAUACUGACGCUGAGGUGCGAAAGCGUGGGGAGCAAACAGGAUUAGAUACCCGCGUAGUCCCUGAGCGGGCUGGCAAGGCGCAU